Molecule: long non-coding RNA, 373 nt
Filed under: Androctonus crassicauda
Lineage: Eukaryota; Metazoa; Arthropoda; Arachnida; Scorpiones; Buthidae
Source: RNAcentral
CGAGCAUCCAGUUCCGGCCAUCCCUCUCCUUAACCAUCCGGCCCCCUCUACGGGUGUGGAUGCAGCCCGCGAUUGGAACCGGCUCCAUCCCUUAGUAAUAUCGUCGAUUGGAAACGGAGGUAAAAAUGUCUUCUCGGAGUCGGGUAAUGGCUGUCGACGUUGAUGGCUAAAAAUGUGGGAGAAUACCUAAUUUCUCCGUUUGAUAAAUUCAGAAUUUCAAUAUCGUUAUUAAAAUUUCGCUCUUACCUCGGGGAAGAUGGACGGUGGGGGAAGGGAAGCCGGAAUUAUCCACCUUUUCCAUCUCCAGAGGAUUUUUUGUCAACAGAUGACGCCACUUUCCAUUCCGGAAGAACACUUAAGUGGCGGGGCGAAA